UUGGAGGGCAAGUCUGGUGCCCGCAGCCGCGGUAAUUCCAGCUCCAAUAGCGUAUAUUAAAGUUGCUGCAGUUAAAAAGCUCGUAGUUGAAUUUCGGAACCAAUAUGUUGGUUGUGCCUCGGUACGUACUGGCAUUGUUGGUUUCUCCCUUCUGACGAACUAUGAUGUCAUUAAUUUGGUGUCAUGGGGAAUCAGGACUGUUACUUUGAAAAAAUUAGAGUGUUUAAAGCAGGCUCACGCUUGAAUACAUUAGCAUGGAAUAAUGAAAUAGGACGUUUGAUUCUAUUUUGUUGGUUUCUAGGAUUGACGUAAUGAUUAAUAGGGAUAGUUGGG
RNAcentral lists this ribosomal RNA (333 nucleotides) under Glomus sp. RNAcentral describes it as "SSU rRNA". It matches the Rfam family "Eukaryotic small subunit ribosomal RNA", at positions 548 to 886 of the family's 1831-position model. The record is from RNAcentral. Lineage: Eukaryota; Fungi; Glomeromycota; Glomeromycetes; Glomerales; Glomeraceae.